UACGUAGGCAGCAAGCGUUGUUCGGAAUUACUGGGCGUAAAGAGUGUGUAGGCGGUGCUCCAAGUCUGGUGUGAAAUCUCCCGGCUCAACUGGGAGGGUGCGCCGAAUACUGAAUGACUAGAGUGCGGGAGAGGAGAGUGGAAUUCCUGGUGUAGAGGUGAAAUUCGUAGAUAUCAGGAGGAACACCAGUGGCGAAGGCGGCUUUCUGGACGAUUACUGACGCUGAGACGCGAAAGCGUGGGGAGCAAACAGG
This 253-nucleotide ribosomal RNA is filed under the name uncultured bacterium. RNAcentral's name for it is "partial 16S ribosomal RNA". It matches the Rfam family "Bacterial small subunit ribosomal RNA", at positions 524 to 776 of the family's 1533-position model. The record is from RNAcentral.